AUUUAAUAUUUAGUAUUAGGUGCUGUCAAUAUGACAGUUAAAAGGAAAAGUGUAAAAAACACUGCAGCCCACCGUUACUGUAUGGAGGAUGAAACCCUAACUAUGUCACUGGAAUUAUGUUUUCGGGAAGACAGGGAAGUAAGAUGAAUCUGAGCCAGGAAGCCUGCCUGAUAUGUUGUUAAUUC
This 185-nucleotide non-coding RNA is filed under the name Clostridium autoethanogenum. Lineage: Bacteria; Bacillati; Bacillota; Clostridia; Eubacteriales; Clostridiaceae. The record is from RNAcentral.